Non-coding RNA from Parelaphostrongylus tenuis, 71 nucleotides. Lineage: Eukaryota; Metazoa; Nematoda; Chromadorea; Rhabditida; Metastrongylidae. The record is from the annotation of a GenBank genome assembly.
ACCCCGGUGGUGUAAUGGUAGCACGUGUCCUCGGUGAAAAUACAACGCGGGUUCGAUUCCCUUCUGAGGCC